This 253-nucleotide ribosomal RNA is filed under the name uncultured bacterium. RNAcentral's name for it is "partial 16S ribosomal RNA". It matches the Rfam family "Bacterial small subunit ribosomal RNA", at positions 524 to 776 of the family's 1533-position model. The record is from RNAcentral.
UACAGAGGUCUCAAGCGUUGUUCGGAUUCAUUGGGCGUAAAGGGUACGUAGGCGGCGCGGUAAGUCGGGUGUGAAAUCUCGGGGCUUAACUCCGAAACUGCAUUCGAUACUGCCGUGCUUGAGGACUGGAGAGGAGACUGGAAUUUACGGUGUAGCGGUGAAAUGCGUAGAUAUCGUAAGGAAGACCAGUGGCGAAGGCGGGUCUCUGGACAGUACCUGACGCUGAGGCACGAAGGCCAGGGGAGCAAACGGG